GUCUUAGAUAGCUUAACUGGAAGAGCCCUUGGUGCAUAACCAGAAGAUCUGGGUUCAAUUCCCGGUCCGGACU
This 73-nucleotide transfer RNA is filed under the name Cotesia glomerata. RNAcentral's name for it is "tRNA-Met". Lineage: Eukaryota; Metazoa; Arthropoda; Insecta; Hymenoptera; Braconidae. The record is from RNAcentral.